RNAcentral lists this ribosomal RNA (459 nucleotides) under Streptococcus mitis. RNAcentral describes it as "bacterial SSU rRNA". It matches the Rfam family "Bacterial small subunit ribosomal RNA", at positions 28 to 473 of the family's 1533-position model. The record is from RNAcentral. Lineage: Bacteria; Bacillati; Bacillota; Bacilli; Lactobacillales; Streptococcaceae.
GACGAACGCUGGCGGCGUGCCUAAUACAUGCAAGUAGAACGCUGAAGGAGGAGCUUGCUUCUCUGGAUGAGUUGCGAACGGGUGAGUAACGCGUAGGUAACCUGCCUGGUAGCGGGGGAUAACUAUUGGAAACGAUAGCUAAUACCGCAUAAUAGCAGUUAUUGCAUGAUAACUGUUUGAAAGGUGCAAUUGCAUCACUACCAGAUGGACCUGCGUUGUAUUAGCUAGUUGGUGAGGUAACGGCUCACCAAGGCGACGAUACAUAGCCGACCUGAGAGGGUGAUCGGCCACACUGGGACUGAGACACGGCCCAGACUCCUACGGGAGGCAGCAGUAGGGAAUCUUCGGCAAUGGACGGAAGUCUGACCGAGCAACGCCGCGUGAGUGAAGAAGGUUUUCGGAUCGUAAAGCUCUGUUGUAAGAGAAGAACGAGUGUGAGAGUGGAAAGUUCACACUGAG